Molecule: ribosomal RNA, 427 nt
Filed under: uncultured bacterium
Lineage: Bacteria
Description: bacterial SSU rRNA
Rfam family: Bacterial small subunit ribosomal RNA
Source: RNAcentral
UGGGGAAUAUUGGACAAUGGACGCAAGUCUGAUCCAGCCAUGCCGCGUGCGGGAAGAAGGCCUUCGGGUUGUAAACCGCUUUUGUCAGGGAAGAAACGAGUUUCCCUAAUACAGAGACUCAAUGACGGUACCUGAAGAAUAAGCACCGGCUAACUACGUGCCAGCAGCCGCGGUAAUACGUAGGGUGCGAGCGUUAAUCGGAAUUACUGGGCGUAAAGCGUGCGCAGGCGGUUAUGUAAGACAGAUGUGAAAUCCCCGGGCUCAACCUGGGACCUGCAUUUGUGACUGUAUAGCUAGAGUACGGUAGAGGGGGAUGGAAUUCCGCGUGUAGCAGUGAAAUGCGUAGAUAUGCGGAGGAACACCGAUGGCGAAGGCAAUCCCCUGGGCCUGUACUGACGCUCAUGCACGAAAGCGUGGGGAGCAAACA